UUGAAGGUCAGUGGGUGGAUUAGAGCUGAUUUGGAACUCAAAAGGGUGAAUUUCUGUAAGUUGGAGGUUGAAGAGUCGACCCUUGCCCUUGAGAAGUUGACCAUAGGGAUUUUUUUUUGAACAAUGGUAGUUUUCUGGAAUAGGAUCAACUACUCGCCCCCUUUUCAGAGAAGUCGGCUUUAGAGCAAAAUCAUAGUCAUAGUCAACCCCUUACCUUAUGCAGUCGACCCUAGAGCACAGCAGUAGAAAAAUAAAACCCUAAAACCCCCAAAACUCGAGCCUCCUUCAUUUCUGUUUGUUCUUCCACUCUUGUUAUCUCAAAUUUCUCAACUCUCAAGACCUUCAAACUGCAUUAUUAAACCUUGACCUUCAAUAACUAAAGGGUUUCAAGAUUUGUUAGAACCCUUGCGUAAGAGCUCGCCAAGGUACUGUUGGAGUAGUUUGAGUUUUGAAGAAGUUGAGCUUUCGACGAAAUGUGUCAAGAGGAAAGGCACACUUCCAUGAGAUGGUUGCAAGAUAGGUUCUAAAAUAGUGAAGUUCAUCUCAAAGCAUUCCAAGAUCAUCAAUCUACACUACAACAAGCAUACUUCAAGUCAAGAAACGUAGUCAUCACUCAACAUUUGAUCACAAGGAAAAUAUGGUCAAAGUUACAUGUUAAAAUGUCAAGGAAUCUUGAAGAAACAAAGCUCCAAUCUAUCCUAGAGCAAUGCAAGUCAUUCAUAUGCAAGAAUGAGCGAGAACAGGUGAGAAAACUUGAGAAAGACACAACCAUAGUCGACCUUGGAACAAUCUUUAUCCAUAAUUUAGACCUUGCUUGAAUAGUUUAAAUUGGUUAAUGAUGAGCUUGACAUGAAUUGAUUACUUGAAUUGAUAUGAAAUAUCCUUGCCAUCCUA
Molecule: small RNA, 894 nt
Filed under: Theobroma cacao (cacao)
Lineage: Eukaryota; Viridiplantae; Streptophyta; Magnoliopsida; Malvales; Malvaceae
Description: sRNA Tc07v2_g011150
Source: RNAcentral